UACGAGGGGAGCAAGCGUUGUUCGGAUUUACUGGGCGUAAAGGGCGCGUAGGCGGUUGGACAAGUCACUUGUGAAAUCUUGAAGCUCAACUUCAAGCUGCCAAGCGAUACUGUUCGACUAGAGUGCAGAAGGGGCAACUGGAAUUCUCGGUGUAGCGGUGAAAUGCGUAGAUAUCGAGAGGAACACCUGCGGCGAAGGCGGGUUGCUGGGCUGACACUGACGCUGAGGCGCGAAAGCUAGGGUAGCAAACGGG
Molecule: ribosomal RNA, 253 nt
Filed under: uncultured bacterium
Lineage: Bacteria
Description: partial 16S ribosomal RNA
Rfam family: Bacterial small subunit ribosomal RNA
Source: RNAcentral